UACCCGCAGCUCAAGUGGUGGUCAUUAUUAUUGGGCCUAAAGCGUCCGUAGCUGGCCUGUUAGAUGCCUGGGUAAAUCGAUGCGCUCAGCGUAUCGAAUUCCGGGUAGACCGGCAGGCUCGAGACCGGGAGAGGUGUAGGCUACUCGAGGGGUAGGGGUAAAAUCCUGUAAUCCUUCGGGGAGGACCAGUGGCGAAGGCGCUACACUAGAACGGCUCUGACAGUGAGGGACGAAGCCCUGGGGCGCAAACCGG
This 253-nucleotide ribosomal RNA is filed under the name uncultured bacterium. RNAcentral's name for it is "partial 16S ribosomal RNA". It matches the Rfam family "Archaeal small subunit ribosomal RNA", at positions 474 to 727 of the family's 1478-position model. The record is from RNAcentral.